This 383-nucleotide ribosomal RNA is filed under the name uncultured eukaryote. RNAcentral's name for it is "partial 18S ribosomal RNA". It matches the Rfam family "Eukaryotic small subunit ribosomal RNA", at positions 592 to 976 of the family's 1831-position model. The record is from RNAcentral.
CAAUAGCGUAUAUUAAAGUUGUUGCAGUUAAAAAGCUCGUAGUUGGAUUUCUGGUAGGAGUGACCGUUCCGAACUUGAUUGUUCGUGUAUUGUGUUUUCUCCAGCCAUCCUUGUGGAGAACUUUUCUUGCAUUAAUUUGUAGGGAUUGGGACCCGCAUCGUUUACUGUGUAAAAAUUAGAGUGUUUAAAGCAGGCAAUCGCUUGAAUACAUUAGCAUGGAAUAAUAAGAAAGGACUUUGGUACUAUUUUGUUGGUUUGCAUACCAAAUUAAUGAUCAACAGGAACAGUUUGAGGAUAUUCGUAUGAACAUGUCAGAGGUGAAAUUCUUGGAUUUUGAUCAGACGAACUACUGCGAAAGCAUUUAUCAAGGAUGUUUUCAUUAA